This 636-nucleotide ribosomal RNA is filed under the name Brevundimonas sp. Rud01. RNAcentral describes it as "bacterial SSU rRNA". It matches the Rfam family "Bacterial small subunit ribosomal RNA", at positions 80 to 756 of the family's 1533-position model. The record is from RNAcentral. Lineage: Bacteria; Pseudomonadati; Pseudomonadota; Alphaproteobacteria; Caulobacterales; Caulobacteraceae.
ACGAGCCUUCGGCUAGUGGCGGACGGGUGAGUAACACGUGGGAACGUACCUUUAGGUUCGGAAUAACGCAGAGAAAUUUGCGCUAAUACCGAAUGUGCCCUUCGGGGGAAAGAUUUAUCGCCUUUAGAGCGGCCCGCGUUAGAUUAGCUAGUUGGUGGGGUAAAGGCCCACCAAGGCUACGAUCUAUAGCUGGUCUGAGAGGAUGAUCAGCCACAUUGGGACUGAGACACGGCCCAAACUCCUACGGGAGGCAGCAGUGGGGAAUCUUGCGCAAUGGUCGAAAGACUGACGCAGCCAUGCCGCGUGAAUGAUGAAGGUCUUAGGAUUGUAAAAUUCUUUCAGCAGGGACGAUAAUGACGGUACCUGCAGAAGAAGCCCCGGCUAACUUCGUGCCAGCAGCCGCGGUAAUACGAAGGGGGCUAGCGUUGCUCGGAAUUACUGGGCGUAAAGGGAGCGUAGGCGGGUUAUCAAGUUGGAGGUGAAAGCCCAGGGCUCAACCUUGGAAUUGCCUUCAAAACUGAUAGCCUAGAGUAUGAUAGAGGUAAGUGGAACUCCGAGUGUAGAGGUGAAUUCGUAGAUAUUCGGAAGACACCAGUGCGAGGCGACUUACUGAUCAUGACUGACGCUGAGGCUCGA